AUUCCAUUCUUUGUACAAACGCAAGAGGGCGAAUCAUCGCAGCUUUGGCGGAAGGCUUGGUCAGCGAUUGUGGCGAGCAGCAAGACGAUCGAGGUCAAAGGGCGGGAGUUCUUGCCUUGGGCGAUUCAAUGGCCGCGAUUGCUCGUUCUUGGUAGCUCUCUCUGGCAACACUGGCACUAGCAUUUCUUCGUACAUCUUUUCACUGUGGCUUUGGCGGUGUUCGCUACGAAACAUCAUGGAUUCUUAUCGAUGGAAUGAAAUGUAGAUGGGACCUCGCACGGAUCUCCACAAAAACUUUAGAGCAGGAGUGAUGUGAAAGCAUCUUCUUCGAUCACUGCUCACUUUUCUCCAGGCGAUAAACAAUUGUGUGUCACACGAUGCGGGACGAAGAUCCCGAUCAAGCCACCAAGGUGGUGAUCGAGAUGGCCAACGACGAUGGAGUUUCAGUGUCUAGCGAUCGUCCUCUCCAUCGCACCGAGUCCAUUGCUUCGGGUGGAGGCGAGAAGAGAUCCACUGUGGUCACGGCCAUCAAAGUUAAGACUGCUUUCACUCGUCUCGCCAGCACUGUCAGGAAUCACAACUCUCCAAAGGCCACCAAGUUUGAUCGAGCGAAGCAAGCAAAGUUUUC
Molecule: long non-coding RNA, 628 nt
Organism: Selaginella moellendorffii
Lineage: Eukaryota; Viridiplantae; Streptophyta; Lycopodiopsida; Selaginellales; Selaginellaceae
Exons: 3
Source: RefSeq, a predicted model, not a curated record